AUUGUGACAUCACCCACUGACAAGUACCCAUUGUCACAGCCACAGACACACCAGAAACUUCAGCUCCAGCAUAAGGAAGUCACACUCUCCAGAUCAUCCACAAGACAGCCUGACUGCAUGCACUGCCAUCCUUCCAGAUUUCACCUCAACUUUCAAGAGAAGAACUUCCCUUGUUUCGCCUUGUUAUUCAGAUAGAAAUUCCAAAGAGUGAAGAUUCACAAGACAGAAAAUCAUUAGAUGUGAAGACACGCAUUAGGUGAGUGGAGUGGCAACGGACAGGAUCACAGGGAAAACAGUGGCAGAACCAGGAAGGGGAAGCCAGUCACCUUGACGUGAACCAGGGCUCCUUUUACUGGCAUUUCUCACCUUUCUGUGCAAAACGAGAGCGUGGCCUUCUGGGAGCCUACACUCUGGAAGGAAGUACCUUCCCAUGUAACCCCCGGCUCCACAGUCUUGCUUUACAAUGAUGAAUAGCACACCAGCCUACCACUUGGCUGUGAACUGUCGGACAUGUGAGUCAUGAAACUACAGAGAUUUAAGAGAAAGCUGUACAGGGAAGACCCUUCUCAGAGUGACACAGGUACAAAAUAGAGGACUCCAACCGUGGCGCAGAGGAUGAAGUGUGAAGAGAGACAAGGUCUGACAGGAGGCACGAGUCACCUCUGCUGCAGAAAGGAUGAAGAGGAGCUGCAUGAAGCAGCUAUGGAAGUAUCGAUGCCCUUCUAAGACACUAAAGAACCACCAUGUGGAUGGGACCUUGUGGAAUUUAGUCUUCCUAUCUACAAAGGUUAGACUUGGCACCGAUGAUAGGAUAAGGCGGCUGGACUUGAGGAGAGGUGGGGGACAGGAUCAUCUUGAUGAUGCUAAUUUGCUGCCUGAGACUCUUCUGUGAGAAAAAUUUUACACCUAAGCUCAGGCUUACUGGAAGGACUGAUUAGUCGCAUCUGCCACGAAGGAGACACAUGUGCUGCUGCAUUUCUGAUUGCCGUUAGCCAGACCAUCAUUAAGAUUCCGCCCAGGGUCAACCC
Heterocephalus glaber (naked mole-rat) is the source of this 1028-nucleotide long non-coding RNA. Lineage: Eukaryota; Metazoa; Chordata; Mammalia; Rodentia; Bathyergidae. The record is from Ensembl.